AGCUCCAAUAGCGUAUAUUAAAGUUGUUGCGGUUAAAAAGCUCGUAGUUGGAUUUCUGCUGAGAAUAAUCAGUCUGCCCUCUGGGUGAGUAUUUGGUUUUGCCUGAGCAUUGUCUUGGAGAGCGCAACUGCACUUGAUUGUGUGGUGUGAUAUCCAAGGUUUUUACUUUGAGGAAAUCAGAGUGCUUCGAGCAGGCAUGUGCCUUGAAUACAUUAGCAUGGAAUAAUGAGAUAAGGCUUUGAUUUUAUUUUGUUGGUUUU
RNAcentral lists this ribosomal RNA (260 nucleotides) under uncultured eukaryote. RNAcentral's name for it is "partial small subunit ribosomal RNA". It matches the Rfam family "Eukaryotic small subunit ribosomal RNA", at positions 587 to 851 of the family's 1831-position model. The record is from RNAcentral.